CCUACGGGGUGCAGCAGUGAGGAAUAUUGGUCAAUGGGCGGAAGCCUGAACCAGCCAAGUCGCGUGAGGGAUUAAGGCCCUGCGGGUCGUAAACCUCUUUUGCCGGGGAGCAGAGGUCCGGACGUGUCCGGGCCGGGAGAGUACCCGGAGAAAAAGCAUCGGCUAACUCCGUGCCAGCAGCCGCGGUAAUACGGAGGAUGCGAGCGUUAUCCGGAUUUAUUGGGUUUAUAGGGUGCGUAGGCGGGCAUUUAAGCCGGCGGUCAAAUGUCGGGGCUCAACCCCGGCCUGCCGUCGGAACUGGGUGCCUUGAGUGGGCGAGAAGUAUGCGGAAUGCGGGGUGUAGCGGUGAAAUGCAUAGAUAUCACGCAGAACCCCGAUUGCGAAGGCAGCAUACCGGCGCCCUACUGACGCUGAGGCACGAAAGUGCGGGUAUCGAACAGGAUUAGAUACCCCGGUAGUC
Molecule: ribosomal RNA, 460 nt
Filed under: uncultured bacterium
Lineage: Bacteria
Description: partial 16S ribosomal RNA
Rfam family: Bacterial small subunit ribosomal RNA
Source: RNAcentral